This 702-nucleotide long non-coding RNA is filed under the name Ananas comosus (pineapple). RNAcentral describes it as "long non-coding RNA (ACOM_LNC041723)". Lineage: Eukaryota; Viridiplantae; Streptophyta; Magnoliopsida; Poales; Bromeliaceae. The record is from RNAcentral.
CCUCCCUUGUGGUUUCACACUUUCUCACUUUAGUACCUUAUAGUUUAAAAUGUAUCAAGUUAGCCCCUAUGGUUUCACAUUUUCUCACUUUAGUACCCUGUGGUUUAAAGUGUAUCAAGUUAGUAUCCUGUAAUUUCAUUUUUCUCUUUUUAUUAUCCAUUCCACCAAUUUUUUUUGUUAAAUCAGUGACAAAGUUAAAAUAAAGGGUACUAAAGUGAAUAUUUGAUAAAUUUAGGUAAGGUAUAUGAAGUUUUUUGUAUAUAAUUUAAUAAAAUAUUAACAGAGAAAAAAAAAUCAAUGAUAAAAUUAAAACUAAAGGGUACUAAAGUGAAUAUUCGAUAAACCUAGAUAGAGUAUCUGAAAUUUUUUUGUAUAUAAUUUAACGAAAUAUUAUCAGAGGAGCCGACGAAAAUAGAAAAAUGAAACCACAGGAUAUUAAAUUGAUGCACUUUAAACCACAGGGUACUAAAGUGAGAAAGUGCUAAACCACAUGGCACUAAAUUGAUACACUUUAAACCACACGGUACUAACGUACAAAAGUGCGAAACAACAUAGGUGGUAUUUAAAGUUUUUCCAAAAAAAAUUAUAGAGAAAAAAAAUAUAUAAUACAUUUUUGAAUUUUACGAUGCUCAACUUCUCUUUUCUACUUUUCCUAUUCAAAACCACUAAGCUUUUACUUUUUUUAUUUAAUUUUCUAACUUU